Molecule: long non-coding RNA, 527 nt
Organism: Dermacentor silvarum
Lineage: Eukaryota; Metazoa; Arthropoda; Arachnida; Ixodida; Ixodidae
Exons: 3
Source: RefSeq, a predicted model, not a curated record
UGCUUUGAUGCGGAGGGCGGCGCAGCUGUACCAACGUAUGUGCGCGUGUCACUCAGGGACACUUUAAUGCUGUCGUGUUCUACACGUAAAAGCGAAGCUUACAUUUAAGCAUCUCCCAUGUUUUUCCUUUUUGCUCGUAGUCAUUAAGCAUAGCUACUUACAAUGUCCCUUCGAUAUGUCAUUUUCCUUCCAGUAAGUGAUGAUAGGUGACGUUAAUGCAAUUGACAGUUUUUUAGUGAACUGUGCGAAGACGGAACAUGUAAGGAAACAAACACGAGCGCAGAAUAUCAACAUAUGAAUCGUAUAUUAAGUCAUAUAUUGAUAGUUCACCCAAAGGCUAAUGUGCACCAACAAGCCCAGCUAAAACCCUUCUACAAUUGGCAAUAUUUCUUAUGAUGGUUUGCCCGUAUUCCCACUGCAGUUGUAUUCUCCUCAGGCAAAUCGGUACUGACAACACCGCCACCUGUUUGUUGGAUCAUGCCAGCUGGGUCAUUCGCUGCGAACUUGACCCCCACCAAGGGCCAAAC